AUCUACAAUGGACUCAACAGAAGCCGCCCAGUUGUGCCCCUGCUCCUUAUUUUCAUUGGGUUAUAUGUAGAUUUAAAAUAAUAAUGGCCCCCAGCCAAGGCUCCAGGUGCCCACAUGUGGCUAACUGUAAACACAAUGAAAUAGAGGCAUUAAACCAC
Dermochelys coriacea (leatherback sea turtle) is the source of this 158-nucleotide long non-coding RNA. RefSeq lists it as uncharacterized. The record is from RefSeq and is a predicted model, not a curated record. The transcript is spliced from 3 exons. NCBI's taxonomy places the organism in Eukaryota, Metazoa, Chordata, Testudines, Dermochelyidae.